UAUCCAGACUCCUACGGGAGGCAGCAGUGGGGGAUAUUGCACAAUGGGGGGAACCCUGAUGCAGCGACGCCGCGUGAGCGAUGAAGUAUUUCGGUAUGUAAAGCUCUAUCAGCAGGGAAGAAGAUGACGGUACCUGACUAAGGAGCCCCGGCUAACUACGUGCCAGCAGCCGCGGUAAUACGUAGGGGGCGAGCGUUAUCCGGAUUUACUGGGUGUAAAGGGAGCGUAGACGGCGAUGCAAGCCAGAUGUGAAAGCCCGGGGCUCAACCCCGGGACUGCAUUUGGAACUGUGUGGCUGGAGUGUCGGAGAGGCAGGCGGAAUUCCUAGUGUAGCGGUGAAAUGCGUAGAUAUCAGGAGGAACACCGGCGGCGAAGGCGGCUUACUGGACGGCAACUGACGUUGAGGCCCGAAAGCGUGGGGAGCGAACAGGAUUAGAUACCCCUGUAC
Molecule: ribosomal RNA, 448 nt
Filed under: uncultured bacterium
Lineage: Bacteria
Description: bacterial SSU rRNA
Rfam family: Bacterial small subunit ribosomal RNA
Source: RNAcentral